UUUGUGUUAAAAUAUGUUCUGUUAAUGUGUGUUAAGACUGAAGGCAAUUGCACCUGAAGUCUUUUGAUUAAUGGAUGUAAAGGCUCGAAUAUUCCUUAUAGAUGUGUAUCUUGAAUAAGUAUGAUGUAUUUUUAUAUUCCUCCUUAACAUGCCAAGUAAUUAAUGGUUAUAUUUCACACAUUUAUUUUUGAGUUUAAGUUUUGAUUCAUAUUUUCUACUUACAUUUUUGAUGUUUUGA
Long non-coding RNA from Scomber japonicus (chub mackerel), 238 nucleotides. RefSeq lists it as uncharacterized. The record is from RefSeq and is a predicted model, not a curated record. Lineage: Eukaryota; Metazoa; Chordata; Actinopteri; Scombriformes; Scombridae. The transcript is spliced from 2 exons.